This 449-nucleotide ribosomal RNA is filed under the name bacterium 1-7A. RNAcentral describes it as "bacterial SSU rRNA". It matches the Rfam family "Bacterial small subunit ribosomal RNA", at positions 19 to 454 of the family's 1533-position model. The record is from RNAcentral.
AUGGCUCAGGACGAACGCUGGCGGCGUGCCUAAUACAUGCAAGUCGAGCGGACUUGAUGGAGUGCUUGCACUCCUGAUGGUUAGCGGCGGACGGGUGAGUAACACGUAGGUAACCUGCCCAUAAGACUGGGAUAACCCACGGAAACGUGAGCUAAUACCAGAUAGGCAUUUUCCUCGCAUGAGGGAAAUGAGAAAGGCGGAGCAAUCUGCCACUUAUGGAUGGACCUGCGGCGCAUUAGCUAGUUGGUAAGGUAACGGCUUACCAAGGCGACGAUGCGUAGCCGACCUGAGAGGGUGAUCGGCCACACUGGGACUGAGACACGGCCCAGACUCCUACGGGAGGCAGCAGUAGGGAAUCUUCCGCAAUGGACGAAAGUCUGACGGAGCAACGCCGCGUGAGUGAUGAAGGUUUUCGGAUCGUAAAGCUCUGUUGCCAGGGAAGAACGCCU